This 508-nucleotide ribosomal RNA is filed under the name uncultured bacterium. Its description in RNAcentral is "partial 16S ribosomal RNA". It matches the Rfam family "Bacterial small subunit ribosomal RNA", at positions 28 to 523 of the family's 1533-position model. The record is from RNAcentral.
GAUGAACGCUAGCUACAGGCUUAACACAUGCAGGUCGAGGGGAAACGAUAUUGGAAGCUUGCUUCCGAUAGGCGUCGACCGGCGCACGGGUGAGUAACGCGUAUCCAACCUGCCCACCACUUGGGGAUAACCUUGCGAAAGUAAGACUAAUACCCAAUGAUAUCUCAAGAAGACAUCUGAAUGAGAUUAAAGAUUUAUCGGUGAUGGAUGGGGAUGCGUCUGAUUAGCUUGUUGGCGGGGUAACGGCCCACCAAGGCGACGAUCAGUAGGGGUUCUGAGAGGAAGGUCCCCCACAUUGGAACUGAGACACGGUCCAAACUCCUACGGGAGGCAGCAGUGAGGAAUAUUGGUCAAUGGGCGAGAGCCUGAACCAGCCAAGUAGCGUGCAGGAUGACGGCCCUAUGGGUUGUAAACUGCUUUUAUAAGGGAAUAAAGUGAGCCUCGUGAGGCUUUUUGCAUGUACCAUAUGAAUAAGGACCGGCUAAUUCCGUGCCAGACGCCGCGGUAA